Molecule: small nuclear RNA, 106 nt
Organism: Lampris incognitus (smalleye Pacific opah)
Lineage: Eukaryota; Metazoa; Chordata; Actinopteri; Lampriformes; Lampridae
Source: RefSeq, a predicted model, not a curated record
GUAUUGCUCCGGUAAUACACAUACUAAAAUUGGAACGAUUCAGAGAAGAUUAGCGUGGUCCCUGCGCAAGGAUGACAUGCAAAUCCGUGAAGCGUUUCAUAUUUUU